GACGAACGCUGGCGGCGCGCUUAACACAUGCAAGUCGAACGGAAAGGCCUGCUUUCCCUUGUGGAUUGCGGGUACUCGAGUGGCGAACGGGUGAGUAACACGUGAGUGAUCUGCCCCCAACUUGCGUAUAAGCCUGGGAAACUGGGUCUAAUUCCCGAUAGGACUGCAGGGUGGUGCCGUUGGUGGAAAACGAGUUUCUAGUGGUUGGGGAUGAGCUCGCGGUCUAUCAGCUUGUUGGUGAGGUAAUGGCCUACCAAGGCAACGACGGGUAGCCGACCUGGGAGUGUGAGCGGCCACACUGGAACUGAGACACGGUCCCGACCCCGACGGGUGGCAGCAGCAGGGAUGCGUCCGCAAUGGGAGAAGGCCUGACGGUGCAACGCCGCGGGAGUGAGGAAGGUCUUCGGAUCGUAGAACUCUGUUAUUAGGGAAGAACAGAAGUGUAAGUAAUUGGGCACAUCUUGACGGUACUGAAACAGAAAGCCACGGCUAACUACGUG
RNAcentral lists this ribosomal RNA (500 nucleotides) under uncultured bacterium. Its description in RNAcentral is "partial 16S ribosomal RNA". It matches the Rfam family "Bacterial small subunit ribosomal RNA", at positions 28 to 507 of the family's 1533-position model. The record is from RNAcentral.